UACGGUGGGGGCUAGCGUUGUUCGGAAUUACUGGGCGUAAAGCGUACGUAGGCGGCUUUUUAAGUCAGAGGUGAAAUCCCACGACUCAAUCGUGGAACUGCCUUUGAGACUGGAUCGCUUGAAGAUGGGAGAGGUAAGUGGAAUUCCGAGUGUAGAGGUGAAAUUCGUAGAUAUUCGGAAGAACACCAGUGGCGAAGGCGGCUUACUGGACCAUUCUUGACACUGAGGUACGCAAGCGUGGGGAGCAAACAGG
This 253-nucleotide ribosomal RNA is filed under the name uncultured bacterium. RNAcentral's name for it is "partial 16S ribosomal RNA". It matches the Rfam family "Bacterial small subunit ribosomal RNA", at positions 524 to 776 of the family's 1533-position model. The record is from RNAcentral.